GAAAUGCGAUAAGUAAUGUGAAUUGCAGAAUUCAGUGAAUCAUCGAAUCUUUGAACGCACCUUGCGCACCUUGGCAUUCCGAGGAGCAUGCCUGUUUGAGUGUCGUUGAAUUCUCAAACCCCUUCCUGUGGGGGCCUCUUUUGGUUCCACUGCGGUCAGGUUGUGGGUUUGGAUCGGUGGAGGAUGCAUGAGCGCUGCCCCCAGAAACGGGGGAUGGGCAUGUUAUGCUUCUCUGAAAUGGAUUGGCAAUUACGGCUGCGAUCCACGAACCUGUCGUCGGUAUGAUACGUCUUACCUGCUUCUGAACCGUGCCAGCCCGGCCAGACGAGACGGAGACGGACUGUCUCCAUCUACGAUUUGACCUCAAAUCAGGCAGGACUACCCGCUGAACUUAA
Molecule: unclassified non-coding RNA, 395 nt
Filed under: uncultured Basidiomycota
Lineage: Eukaryota; Fungi; Basidiomycota
Description: sequence contains ITS1
Rfam family: 5.8S ribosomal RNA (bases 1-105)
Source: RNAcentral